Acanthosepion pharaonis is the source of this 110-nucleotide non-coding RNA. The record is from the annotation of a GenBank genome assembly. Lineage: Eukaryota; Metazoa; Mollusca; Cephalopoda; Sepiida; Sepiidae.
UUACGGCCAUAUCACAUUGAAACACCAGUUCUCGAACGAUCACCGAAUCUAAGCAACGUCCAACCUGGUCAGUACCUUGAUGGGUGACAACGUGGGAAUACCAGGUGCUA